UACGUAGGGUGCGAGCGUUAAUCGGAAUUACUGGGCGUAAAGCGUGCGCAGGCGGUUUUGUAAGCCAGAUGUGAAAUCCCCGGGCUUAACCUGGGAAUGGCAUUUGGGACUGCAAGGCUUGAGUGCGGCAGAGGAGACUGGAAUUCCUGGUGUAGCAGUGAAAUGCGUAGAUAUCUAGAGGAACGCCAAAGGUGAAGACAGGCGACUGGUUUGCAACUGACGCUCAUGGACGAAAGCGUGGGGAUCAAACGGG
Molecule: ribosomal RNA, 253 nt
Filed under: uncultured bacterium
Lineage: Bacteria
Description: partial 16S ribosomal RNA
Rfam family: Bacterial small subunit ribosomal RNA
Source: RNAcentral